This 305-nucleotide ribosomal RNA is filed under the name uncultured bacterium. Its description in RNAcentral is "bacterial SSU rRNA". It matches the Rfam family "Bacterial small subunit ribosomal RNA", at positions 28 to 335 of the family's 1533-position model. The record is from RNAcentral.
GACGAACGCUGGCGGCGUGCUUAACACAUGCAAGUCGAGCGGUAAGGCCCUUUCGGGGGUACACGAGCGGCGAACGGGUGAGUAACACGUGGGUGACCUGCCCUCAGCUCUGGGAUAAGCCUGGGAAACCGGGUCUAAUACUGGAUAUGACUCCAUGACGCAUGUUGUGGGGUGGAAAGCCUUGUGCGGCUGAGGAUGGGCCCGCGGCCUAUCAGCUUGUUGGUGGGGUGANGGCCUACCAAGGCGACGACGGGUAGCCGGCCUGAGAGGGCGACCGGCACACUGGGACUGAGACACGGCCCAGA